CAUCCUCAUCUCUCUUUCUCACACUUUGAACUAGGGUAAAACUCUCGGUGAUGAGGAUGUCGGUGACUUGGUGAGCUCUCGGUGGUGAAGUCAAUGGCACAGGUACCUCAGCUCAUGCACCGUACAAGUAGGAGCCA
Capsicum annuum is the source of this 137-nucleotide long non-coding RNA. RefSeq lists it as uncharacterized. The transcript has 3 exons. The record is from RefSeq and is a predicted model, not a curated record. NCBI's taxonomy places the organism in Eukaryota, Viridiplantae, Streptophyta, Magnoliopsida, Solanales, Solanaceae.